Long non-coding RNA from Gasterosteus aculeatus aculeatus (three-spined stickleback), 470 nucleotides. RefSeq lists it as uncharacterized. NCBI's taxonomy places the organism in Eukaryota, Metazoa, Chordata, Actinopteri, Perciformes, Gasterosteidae. The record is from RefSeq and is a predicted model, not a curated record.
CCGGGGACGACGCUCACGCACGCACUGCUGCUGCUGCUGCCGCCGGCAGAUGUCCGCGACGGGCCCGGCAUUGGCCAGCUAGACCUGCAGAGCAGAACGGACACGUGUUGCCUUCAGGCGCUGCAGGCCAGAUGCAGCAAGCAGAAUCUGGCUCCAAAGGCCGGCCGCUCACUGAGCAGGCUGACAUACAAGCGGAGGCAGCAAGACACACAGGCCGAGACACGAAGCAUCAGCAUCAUCCUAAUCCCUCUUGACCGCGUCCUUCAGGCUGGUGGAGAAGGCUGCAGCAGACGUGUCUAAAUGGGACAUCCCAGUGUCUCCUCUUGGCCAAUAAUAUGCAAGAAUAAGGGAGCGAAACCUUAAAAAAUAAAAUAAAAAUAAAACGUUCCAGAAAUGUAUGUGAUGUUUGUUUGAGAUUAAGGGACAUCGCUUCAGUCUGUAAGCGAUAAUAAAAAUGUACAAUUUAAGCA